GCGGUCAUGGCGGAAUUGGUAGACGCGCUAGCUUGAGGUGCUAGUUCUUUAACCGGAGUGGAGGUUCGAGUCCUCUUGACCGCA
RNAcentral lists this transfer RNA (84 nucleotides) under Roseiarcus fermentans. It matches the Rfam family "tRNA". Rfam says of the family: Transfer RNA (tRNA) molecules are approximately 80 nucleotides in length. Their secondary structure includes four short double-helical elements and three loops (D, anti-codon, and T loops). The record is from Rfam by way of RNAcentral. Lineage: Bacteria; Pseudomonadati; Pseudomonadota; Alphaproteobacteria; Hyphomicrobiales; Roseiarcaceae.